Molecule: long non-coding RNA, 267 nt
Filed under: Mytilus galloprovincialis (Mediterranean mussel)
Lineage: Eukaryota; Metazoa; Mollusca; Bivalvia; Mytilida; Mytilidae
Source: RNAcentral
AAAGUUUUUAAAGCGUUCAAAGAGUAAAGACUUGCCAGAGGAAAUUUACACAUACAAUCCUGUAACAGAACCAGAAUUGAAUUCAAAACGAUGCAGGACAAGCACCAAAAAAAUAAAUGAAAGUAAGGAACAAGAGAGUCAAUUUAGCAAAAAAAAAAGCAGAAAAAAAAAACAUAAAGAUAAUGAUGAACCUAACCAAGAGCCACCCCUUGCAGUUACCAAAAAAUCCAAAAAAAAUCUGAAGCAAAAUGAAAAUGUCAAAGCCAC